This 2898-nucleotide ribosomal RNA is filed under the name Neisseria gonorrhoeae. RNAcentral's name for it is "bacterial LSU rRNA". It matches the Rfam family "Bacterial large subunit ribosomal RNA". The record is from RNAcentral. Lineage: Bacteria; Pseudomonadati; Pseudomonadota; Betaproteobacteria; Neisseriales; Neisseriaceae.
AUAGGGUCAAGUGAAUAAGUGCAUCAGGCGGAUGCCUUGGCGAUGAUAGGCGACGAAGGACGUGUAAGCCUGCGAAAAGCGCGGGGGAGCUGGCAAUAAAGCUAUGAUUCCGCGAUGUCCGAAUGGGGAAACCCACUGCAUUCUGUGCAGUAUCCUAAGUUGAAUACAUAGGCUUAGAGAAGCGAACCCGGAGAACUGAACCAUCUAAGUACCCGGAGGAAAAGAAAUCAACCGAGAUUCCGCAAGUAGUGGCGAGCGAACGCGGAGGAGUCUGUACGUAAUAACUGUCGAGAUAGAAGAACAAGCUGGGAAGCUUGACCAUAGCGGGUGACAGUCCCGUAUUCGAAAUCUCAACAGCGGUACUAAGCGUACGAAAAGUAGGGCGGGACACGUGAAAUCCUGUCUGAAUAUGGGGGGACCAUCCUCCAAGGCUAAAUACUCAUCAUCGACCGAUAGUGAACCAGUACCGUGAGGGAAAGGCGAAAAGAACCCCGGGAGGGGAGUGAAACAGAACCUGAAACCUGAUGCAUACAAACAGUGGGAGCGCCCUAGUGGUGUGACUGCGUACCUUUUGUAUAAUGGGUCAACGACUUACAUUCAGUAGCGAGCUUAACCGGAUAGGGGAGGCGUAGGGAAACCGAGUCUUAAUAGGGCGAUGAGUUGCUGGGUGUAGACCCGAAACCGAGUGAUCUAUCCAUGGCCAGGUUGAAGGUGCCGUAACAGGUACUGGAGGACCGAACCCACGCAUGUUGCAAAAUGCGGGGAUGAGCUGUGGGUAGGGGUGAAAGGCUAAACAAACUCGGAGAUAGCUGGUUCUCCCCGAAAACUAUUUAGGUAGUGCCUCGAGCAAGACACUGAUGGGGGUAAAGCACUGUUAUGGCUAGGGGGUUAUUGCAACUUACCAACCCAUGGCAAACUCAGAAUACCAUCAAGUGGUUCCUCGGGAGACAGACAGCGGGUGCUAACGUCCGUUGUCAAGAGGGAAACAACCCAGACCGCCGGCUAAGGUCCCAAAUGAUAGAUUAAGUGGUAAACGAAGUGGGAAGGCACAGACAGCCAGGAUGUUGGCUUAGAAGCAGCCAUCAUUUAAAGAAAGCGUAAUAGCUCACUGGUCGAGUCGUCCUGCGCGGAAGAUGUAACGGGGCUCAAAUCUAUAACCGAAGCUGCGGAUGCCGGUUUACCGGCAUGGUAGGGGAGCGUUCUGUAGGCUGAUGAAGGUGCAUUGUAAAGUGUGCUGGAGGUAUCAGAAGUGCGAAUGUUGACAUGAGUAGCGAUAAAGCGGGUGAAAAGCCCGCUCGCCGAAAGCCCAAGGUUUCCUACGCAACGUUCAUCGGCGUAGGGUGAGUCGGCCCCUAAGGCGAGGCAGAAAUGCGUAGUCGAUGGGAAACAGGUUAAUAUUCCUGUACUUGAUUCAAAUGCGAUGUGGGGACGGAGAAGGUUAGGUUGGCAAGCUGUUGGAAUAGCUUGUUUAAGCCGGUAGGUGGAAGACUUAGGCAAAUCCGGGUUUUCUUAACACCGAGAAGUGAUGACGAGUGUCUACGGACACGAAGCAACCGAUACCACGCUUCCAGGAAAAGCCACUAAGCUUCAGUUUGAAUCGAACCGUACCGCAAACCGACACAGGUGGGCAGGAUGAGAAUUCUAAGGCGCUUGAGAGAACUCGGGAGAAGGAACUCGGCAAAUUGAUACCGUAACUUCGGGAGAAGGUAUGCCCUCUAAGGUUAAGGACUUGCUCCGUAAGCCCCGGAGGGUCGCAGAGAAUAGGUGGCUGCGACUGUUUAUUAAAAACACAGCACUCUGCCAACACGAAAGUGGACGUAUAGGGUGUGACGCCUGCCCGGUGCCGGAAGGUUAAUUGAAGAUGUGCAAGCAUCGGAUCGAAGCCCCGGUAAACGGCGGCCGUAACUAUAACGGUCCUAAGGUAGCGAAAUUCCUUGUCGGGUAAGUUCCGACCCGCACGAAUGGCGUAACGAUGGCCACACUGUCUCCUCCCGAGACUCAGCGAAGUUGAAGUGGUUGUGAAGAUGCAAUCUACCCGCUGCUAGACGGAAAGACCCCGUGAACCUUUACUGUAGCUUUGCAUUGGACUUUGAAGUCACUUGUGUAGGAUAGGUGGGAGGCUUGGAAGCAGAGACGCCAGUCUCUGUGGAGUCGUCCUUGAAAUACCACCCUGGUGUCUUUGAGGUUCUAACCCAGACCCGUCAUCCGGGUCGGGGACCGUGCAUGGUAGGCAGUUUGACUGGGGCGGUCUCCUCCCAAAGCGUAACGGAGGAGUUCGAAGGUUACCUAGGUCCGGUCGGAAAUCGGACUGAUAGUGCAAUGGCAAAAGGUAGCUUAACUGCGAGACCGACAAGUCGGGCAGGUGCGAAAGCAGGACAUAGUGAUCCGGUGGUUCUGUAUGGAAGGGCCAUCGCUCAACGGAUAAAAGGUACUCCGGGGAUAACAGGCUGAUUCCGCCCAAGAGUUCAUAUCGACGGCGGAGUUUGGCACCUCGAUGUCGGCUCAUCACAUCCUGGGGCUGUAGUCGGUCCCAAGGGUAUGGCUGUUCGCCAUUUAAAGUGGUACGUGAGCUGGGUUUAAAACGUCGUGAGACAGUUUGGUCCCUAUCUGCAGUGGGCGUUGGAAGUUUGACGGGGGCUGCUCCUAGUACGAGAGGACCGGAGUGGACGAACCUCUGGUGUACCGGUUGUAACGCCAGUUGCAUAGCCGGGUAGCUAAGUUCGGAAGAGAUAAGCGCUGAAAGCAUCUAAGCGCGAAACUCGCCUGAAGAUGAGACUUCCCUUGCGGUUUAACCGCACUAAAGGGUCGUUCGAGACCAGGACGUUGAUAGGUGGGGUGUGGAAGCGCGGUAACGCGUGAAGCUAACCCAUACUAAUUGCCCGUGAGGCUUGACUCUAU